AUUGCAUCUAGUGUUGAUGGGACGUGUUGGCAGCUUGGUAUGGAUAGCAUUGGGAGUUAGUAACAUGCUGGAAGGUAGCAGUAAAUAGACUUUCGGUAGCAUCCAGAGUGUAGGGUAGCAAUGCUUUUAUUUUUAGUUUUUAUUGAGUGAAGAGCUGCCACGUCGUGCUCAAGGGCUGCAGACUUUAUGCGUUUGUUUAUUUAUUUGGGAGCAUGAGAAGAGAACACUUACUUCAAGUUGAGAAGGGUGAUGUUACGUCUUUGGAAUGNAGAGCAUUUUAAUUAUCAAUCAUUUGGCUGCCACCUCCAGUUCUUAAUAUUGGGAGUUGCGUUUUCAAUUUAUGAAGAACAAAGCAUUCGGNGCUUCAUAUAGAAAUGGAUAUUUUGCUUGGAAUUUGGGUGAACACGUACGCUACAGCUAACGCCCAAAAAUAGGAGGGUUGCACUUUAUUAUUUGGAAUAUGCAUUCAGCUCAAG
This 476-nucleotide long non-coding RNA is filed under the name Vigna radiata. RNAcentral's name for it is "long non-coding RNA (VRAD_LNC008476)". The record is from RNAcentral. Lineage: Eukaryota; Viridiplantae; Streptophyta; Magnoliopsida; Fabales; Fabaceae.